GACGAACGCUGGCGGCGUGCUUAAUACAUGCAAGUCGAACGGAAAGGCCCUGCUUUUGUGGGGUGCUCGAGUGGCGAACGGGUGAGUAACACGUGAGUAUCCUUCCCUUGACUUUGGGAUAACUUCAGGAAACUGGGGCUAAUAUCGGAUAGGAGAUACUGCUGCAUGGUGGGGGUUGGAAAGUUUCGGCGGUUGGGGAUGGUCUCGCGUCUUUUCAGCUGGUUGGUGGGGUAGUUGCUUACCAAGGAUUUGACGGGUAGCCGGCCUGAGUGGGUGCACGGCUCCAAUAGGACUGACCUAAGGCCCAGACUAGCACAGGCGGCAGCAGUGGAGAAUAUUACAGACCGAACCGAAGCAAGAUCUAGCAACGCUAGGUGCGAGAUGACCGCCUUCGAGCAGUAAACCGAUUUCGACUGUGAUGAAGCGUGAGUGACGGUAACUGGUACAAAAGCACCGGCUAACUACGUG
RNAcentral lists this ribosomal RNA (468 nucleotides) under uncultured bacterium. RNAcentral describes it as "partial 16S ribosomal RNA". It matches the Rfam family "Bacterial small subunit ribosomal RNA", at positions 28 to 507 of the family's 1533-position model. The record is from RNAcentral.